Molecule: ribosomal RNA, 492 nt
Filed under: uncultured bacterium
Lineage: Bacteria
Description: partial 16S ribosomal RNA
Rfam family: Bacterial small subunit ribosomal RNA
Source: RNAcentral
AGUGAACGCUGGCGGUAGGCCUAACACAUGCAAGUCGAACGGCAGCACAGUAAGAGCUUGCUCUUACGGGUGGCGAGUGGCGGACGGGUGAGGAAUACAUCGGAAUCUACUUUUUCGUGGGGGAUAACGUAGGGAAACUUACGCUAAUACCGCAUACGACCUACGGGUGAAAGCAGGGGAUCUUCGGACCUUGCGCGAUUGAAUGAGCCGAUGUCGGAUUAGCUAGUUGGCGGGGUAAAGGCCCACCAAGGCGACGAUCCGUAGCUGGUCUGAGAGGAUGAUCAGCCACACUGGAACUGAGACACGGUCCAGACUCCUACGGGAGGCAGCAGUGGGGAAUAUUGGGCAAUGGGCGCAAGCCUGAUCCAGCCAUACCGCGUGGGUGAAGAGGGCCUUCGGGUUGUAAAGCCCUUUUGUUAGGAAAGAAAAGCAGCAGGUUAAUACCCCGCUGUUCUGACGGUACCCAAAGAAUAAGCACCGGCUAACUUCGUG